CCUAGGCCGGGCUAUAGGGGCCAGGGCCUUGGGCUGCGCCGGCCGCGGGAGGUGGGUGCUUCUCGGCGGCGAGCUGCGACUCGGAGAGACUCCUGUCCGCAGGUGCAUGGCUUCCGGGCGGGCCUCGGGCAGCGAGCUCCAGCCCCACUGAGAGGCCGCGGACCGCCUGGGGACUUGUGUUUGUGUGUAUUUUAAGCCAACAGCCCAGAAAGGGAAGGCGACUGGCCCCCGGUCUUCGCCAGUGUUUCCCGGCCGGGUUACUGGUGGUCAGGAGGGAAGCCAGGAGGCUGCCGGGCUCCGAGGCCGAUUCCUUGCGAACCAUCUCCGUUAAAGACUCCGCGCCGGGCAGCCCGGGAGUCCGGCGGUACCCGCGCAAACUUUGUCCCAGCGCCUUGGCUCACCGUGAAUGCCCUGCCUUGAAAAUUUGGAGUUUUUUGUUUCCUGAAAGUGGUCUGCUUUUCCGAUUUUAUCUGUGUUUUCCAUUUUUACCUUCUUAUUGUCAAUUUGUUUUCAGGCAUUAUUAAUUCAACAAAUCUUUGUACUGCCCCUUACCACGUGUCGAUGGUUCCGUGGUUUGGUGGAAAUAGAUCGCGCUUUGAAGUCAAGACGGAUCGGCCAUGGAAUUUUGGCUCUGAGAUCCUCUGUGUAACCGUGGAUGAGCUACAAGGCCUGCUGAGCCUCCAUUUGUCUGGUUUUUGUGGUUGUUUUAAUUUAUCUUUUUCCAUUUGAAGUUGUGGGUUUUGCAUAAAAUUGAACUGUUACCAGGCUAAGUCAACUGAAAUUGGAAUCUGGGGUACUGCUUGCUUUGAGGUUACUCUUAUACUGUCCACCAUUUGCUGGCUGUGUGAUCUCUAAACCUCUCUGUGCCCUGACUUUUCUAUCUUUAAAAUGGACGUAACAACAGAGGUUUAAUAAUAAGAGGUUUGGAGGUUAAGUGCUAAAAUGCAUAUAAAAUACCUAGCACAGGACACAGUAAAAAGAUUGUUACCGUAUUUCAUUGAAUCUGGUUUUAAGACACUUCCUGAUUUCAAAGAAACUAAAAGCUCAUCUUGAAGUCCAGGAAGUAGGUUUUGGGUCACUCAGAACUCCCAAGGGACUGUAUUUGGUAGUAACUAGUGAUAAACAAACUGGAGUUUAAAUGAGGACUUUGUCACCAGAGAUAUUUUUAUUGCCUGUAUGGAGCUCCUGCACAAAUUUAUUCCAUUUCUCUUGUAGAAAGAGAUCCAACCUGGCCGUAAAUGGGGUGUGGUGGAGUAGAAAGAAGGGUAUUAAGUAAAGCUCUGUGUCGAUGCCUUUCUGAGCAUUUUACGGUGUUGGCAUAUGUGAUCCUGGGUAUCAGGAGCCUCAAUUUCUUGGGCUGUAAAAAUGGGGAGAACAACGCUGAUCCCAUUGUCUCCUGAUGGGUAAGUGAUGUCUAUAAAUAAAUUGUAUAGAGAUUAAGGCAUUAUCAGUGCUGUAGUCUGAUAAAAUGGUGGAGCAGAUAGGAAAGCCUACAACAGUACUGAACUGCAGGAGGGACUAAGAGUAAAUAUAGAGAUUUCAUUUGCUUGGUUUUGCAGAGGGUUAGCUAACUAAACAGAUAACUUUGUUUUCGACAGUUACUUCAUUUUUUUCAGUCAGGCAAGAGUAAGGAGAGAGUAACUAAACCAUUUUUUUUCCUCUUUAAAUAAGAGUAAGCAGAAAUAUUAUGGUUAUUUGGGGUUUUCAUGACCUUCAUUCACUUAGCGGUCAGGCUGUUCAAUUUAAAACAACCUUUUGCUUGCUGCCCUGCCAUAUGGGAAAUUUCAUUUCCAAAAAAAGGAUUAAUUUCCAGCCUGGGCGAAACCCUAUCUCUACGGAAAAUAUAAAAAUUAGCGGCCAGGAGCAGUGGCUCAUACCUGUAAUCCCAGCACUUUGG
Molecule: long non-coding RNA, 1897 nt
Filed under: Homo sapiens (human)
Lineage: Eukaryota; Metazoa; Chordata; Mammalia; Primates; Hominidae
Description: non-protein coding lnc-TRABD2A-5:7
Source: RNAcentral